RNAcentral lists this microRNA precursor (117 nucleotides) under Helianthus argophyllus. RNAcentral describes it as "miR156c stem-loop (har-MIR156c)". Its record names the gene har-MIR156c. Lineage: Eukaryota; Viridiplantae; Streptophyta; Magnoliopsida; Asterales; Asteraceae. The record is from miRBase by way of RNAcentral.
AGGAUAGGAAGUGACAGAAGAGAGGGAGCAUAGAUUCCUUUAUUUAGGUUUUCCAUCUGGUUUAAGUUGGAUUCUCUUGGUUAAACCUUUGGCUGUGCACACAAACAAGUUCCUUCU